RNAcentral lists this ribosomal RNA (429 nucleotides) under uncultured archaeon. RNAcentral describes it as "bacterial SSU rRNA". It matches the Rfam family "Archaeal small subunit ribosomal RNA", at positions 474 to 903 of the family's 1478-position model. The record is from RNAcentral.
UACCUGCAGCUCAAGUGGUGAUCAUUAUUAUUGGACCUAAAACGUCCGUAGCCUGUUUAGUAAAUGCCUGGGUAAAUCGUGUAGCUUAACUAUACGACUUCCGGGUAGACUGCUAAACUUGAGACCGGGAGAGGCUAGAGGUACUCCUGGGGUAGAGGUGAAAUUCUGUAAUCCUAGGGGGACCACCAGUGGCGAAGGCGUCUAGCUAGAACGGGUCUGACGGUGAGGGACGAAGCCCUGGGGCACAAACCGGAUUAGAUACCCGGGUAGUCCAGGGUGUAAACGCUGCUUGCUUGAUGUUAGUUGGGCUCCGAGCCCAACUAGUGUCGGAGAGAAGUUGUUAAGCAAGCUGCCUGGGAAGUACGGUCGCAAGGCUGAAACUUAAAGGAAUUGGCGGGGGAGCACAGCAACGGGUGGAGCGUGCGGUUU